RNAcentral lists this ribosomal RNA (1379 nucleotides) under Limosilactobacillus reuteri. Its description in RNAcentral is "bacterial SSU rRNA". It matches the Rfam family "Bacterial small subunit ribosomal RNA", at positions 43 to 1416 of the family's 1533-position model. The record is from RNAcentral. Lineage: Bacteria; Bacillati; Bacillota; Bacilli; Lactobacillales; Lactobacillaceae.
UGAUUGUAUGGUGCUUGCACCUGAUUGACGAUGGAUCACCAGUGAGUGGCGGACGGGUGAGUAACACGUAGGUAACCUGCCCCGGAGCGGGGGAUAACAUUUGGAAACAGAUGCUAAUACCGCAUAACAACAAAAGCCACAUGGCUUUUGUUUGAAAGAUGGCUUUGGCUAUCACUCUGGGAUGGACCUGCGGUGCAUUAGCUAGUUGGUAAGGUAACGGCUUACCAAGGCGAUGAUGCAUAGCCGAGUUGAGAGACUGAUCGGCCACAAUGGAACUGAGACACGGUCCAUACUCCUACGGGAGGCAGCAGUAGGGAAUCUUCCACAAUGGGCGCAAGCCUGAUGGAGCAACACCGCGUGAGUGAAGAAGGGUUUCGGCUCGUAAAGCUCUGUUGUUGGAGAAGAACGUGCGUGAGAGUAACUGUUCACGCAGUGACGGUAUCCAACCAGAAAGUCACGGCUAACUACGUGCCAGCAGCCGCGGUAAUACGUAGGUGGCAAGCGUUAUCCGGAUUUAUUGGGCGUAAAGCGAGCGCAGGCGGUUGCUUAGGUCUGAUGUGAAAGCCUUCGGCUUAACCGAAGAAGUGCAUCGGAAACCGGGCGACUUGAGUGCAGAAGAGGACAGUGGAACUCCAUGUGUAGCGGUGGAAUGCGUAGAUAUAUGGAAGAACACCAGUGGCGAAGGCGGCUGUCUGGUCUGCAACUGACGCUGAGGCUCGAAAGCAUGGGUAGCGAACAGGAUUAGAUACCCUGGUAGUCCAUGCCGUAAACGAUGAGUGCUAGGUGUUGGAGGGUUUCCGCCCUUCAGUGCCGGAGCUAACGCAUUAAGCACUCCGCCUGGGGAGUACGACCGCAAGGUUGAAACUCAAAGGAAUUGACGGGGGCCCGCACAAGCGGUGGAGCAUGUGGUUUAAUUCGAAGCUACGCGAAGAACCUUACCAGGUCUUGACAUCUUGCGCUAACCUUAGAGAUAAGGCGUUCCCUUCGGGGACGCAAUGACAGGUGGUGCAUGGUCGUCGUCAGCUCGUGUCGUGAGAUGUUGGGUUAAGUCCCGCAACGAGCGCAACCCUUGUUACUAGUUGCCAGCAUUAAGUUGGGCACUCUAGUGAGACUGCCGGUGACAAACCGGAGGAAGGUGGGGACGACGUCAGAUCAUCAUGCCCCUUAUGACCUGGGCUACACACGUGCUACAAUGGACGGUACAACGAGUCGCAAGCUCGCGAGAGUAAGCUAAUCUCUUAAAGCCGUUCUCAGUUCGGACUGUAGGCUGCAACUCGCCUACACGAAGUCGGAAUCGCUAGUAAUCGCGGAUCAGCAUGCCGCGGUGAAUACGUUCCCGGGCCUUGUACACACCGCCCGUCACACCAUGGGAGUUUGUA